This 281-nucleotide long non-coding RNA is filed under the name Lathyrus oleraceus (garden pea). Its description in RNAcentral is "Pisum sativum (pea) long non-coding RNA (PSAT_LNC012508)". Lineage: Eukaryota; Viridiplantae; Streptophyta; Magnoliopsida; Fabales; Fabaceae. The record is from RNAcentral.
UGUGUAUAACUCAAUGCGGUAUCCAUUUAUCAAAGUUUUUUUUUUUUUUAAUUUCAUCGAUGUUAAAGUUGUCUUAUAUCUCUAACAUGUAAAUUCUUUUUUAAGAAAUGAGAAAUUUCUAACCGUAAUUUAAUUAAAAUAAGAAAUUAUUAAAUGGUCAAAUAUAUAUUAAUGAACAUGAACAUAAAAUACACUUCAAUUAUAUUUUAUGAUGAAUUUUAUUUCUUGUGAGUAGGAUUUUACUUUUCUAACCCAAAUUAAUGGUAAAUUUUUAGAAAAUA